CGGAGUAAUGUAUGGGGAUCUGCCUGAUGGCGGGGGAUAACUACUGGAAACGGUAGCUAAUACCGCAUAAUGUCUGCGGACCAAAGCGGGGGACCUCCGGGCCUCGCGCCAUCAGAUGAACCCAUAUGGGAUUAGCUUGUAGGUAAGGUAACGGCUUACCUAGGCGACGAUCCCUAGCUGGUCUGAGAGGAUGAUCAGCCACACUGGGACUGAGACACGGCCCAG
Molecule: ribosomal RNA, 225 nt
Filed under: uncultured bacterium
Lineage: Bacteria
Description: partial 16S ribosomal RNA
Rfam family: Bacterial small subunit ribosomal RNA
Source: RNAcentral